ACAUUUACCUACCAGAGGAGUUGCCAUGAUAACAAAUAUGGUUUCCCCAAGGUGAGGACUAUCUACUGCACUCUGGAUGCGUAUACUCCUGAGAUUUCUCCAAAUAUGGGAAACUCAAUUGUAUAAUUUGUGGUAGAGGGAGACAGUAUCCACUUA
This is a non-coding RNA of Erinaceus europaeus (western European hedgehog), 156 nucleotides long. The record is from Rfam. NCBI's taxonomy places the organism in Eukaryota, Metazoa, Chordata, Mammalia, Eulipotyphla, Erinaceidae.